This 253-nucleotide ribosomal RNA is filed under the name uncultured bacterium. Its description in RNAcentral is "partial 16S ribosomal RNA". It matches the Rfam family "Bacterial small subunit ribosomal RNA", at positions 524 to 776 of the family's 1533-position model. The record is from RNAcentral.
UACGGGGGGAGCAAGCGUUGUUCGGAUUUACUGGGCGUAAAGAGCUCGUAGGCGGUCUGUCGCGUCUGCUGUGAAAACUCAGGGCUUAACCCUGAGCUUGCAGUGGGUACGGGCAGACUAGAGUGCGGUAGGGGAGACUGGAAUUCCUGGUGUAGCGGUGAAAUGCGCAGAUAUCAGGAGGAACACCGGUGGCGAAGGCGGGUCUCUGGGCCGAUACUGACGCUGAGGCGCGAAAGCGUGGGGAGCAAACAGG